UGCCAGCAGCCGCGGUAAUACGGAGGGGGCAAGCGUUAUUCGGAAUUAUUGGGCGUAAAGGGCGUGUAGGUGGCUAGAUCAGCCAAAGGUGAAAUCCCCCGGCUUAACCGGGGAACUGCCUCUGGAACUGUCUAGCUUGAGGCCGGGAGGGGGUAGCGGAAUUCCCAGUGUAGCGGUGAAAUGCGUAGAUAUUGGGAGGAACACCAGUGGCGAAGGCGGCUACCUGGACCGGUUCUGACACUGAAGCGCGAAAGCGUGGGGAGCAAACAGGAUUAGAUA
This 279-nucleotide ribosomal RNA is filed under the name uncultured bacterium. RNAcentral's name for it is "partial 16S ribosomal RNA". It matches the Rfam family "Bacterial small subunit ribosomal RNA", at positions 506 to 784 of the family's 1533-position model. The record is from RNAcentral.